CAGUACCGCGGGAAUACGGAGGAUCCAAGCGUUAUCCGGAAUCAUUGGGUUUAAAGGGUCCGUAGGCGGUCUUGUAAGUCAGUGGUGAAAGCCCAUCGCUCAACGGUGGAACGGCCAUUGAUACUGCAGGACUUGAAUUAUUGGGAAGUAACUAGAAUAUGUAGUGUAGCGGUGAAAUGCUUAGAGAUUACAUGGAAUACCAAUUGCGAAGGCAGGUUACUACCAAUUGAUUGACGCUGAUGGACGAAAGCGUGGGUAGCGAACAGGAUUAGAUACCCCCGUAGUCCCUGUCUCUUAUACC
This 301-nucleotide ribosomal RNA is filed under the name uncultured bacterium. RNAcentral describes it as "partial 16S ribosomal RNA". It matches the Rfam family "Bacterial small subunit ribosomal RNA", at positions 509 to 808 of the family's 1533-position model. The record is from RNAcentral.